UGGAGAGGUUGCGGAGUUUAAGUGCCGCUUCAAGCUUGAGAUGAUAUAAAAGGUAACAGUACGGCGGGUCUCUUGCGCAGAUAAACCACCGGCGGUUCUCCGCAAUUGACACCACCAUACCAACGACUACAACUCACAGAAACUUUGGCGCAUCAACCUCUACAUCAACAUGUAUCUACUGACACUUCUCAAGGCAAAGGCCGAAGCCAACAGAACUUCAGCUCAAUUUGGAGGAACUUACUACCCCAAGAAUUCGUUGGAGUACACAUUUCGAGGUGUGAAGUUGUGCCAAUAGGCCCUCACAAGACAUAGGCAGAAGUUUCGCAUAAGAAUUCUGGCCCCGCAUCAUCAUUAUCUUCAUUAAAUGCAUUGUUUUAUUUAUCCCGGGUCUUCUACGAGUAGGGCUACGAGUACAUACGUAUGUACAGUACAGUAAUUAGAUUCGCUCACCCUGA
Molecule: unclassified non-coding RNA, 455 nt
Filed under: Yarrowia lipolytica
Lineage: Eukaryota; Fungi; Ascomycota; Dipodascomycetes; Dipodascales
Source: RNAcentral